Rhincodon typus (whale shark) is the source of this 512-nucleotide long non-coding RNA. RefSeq lists it as uncharacterized. Lineage: Eukaryota; Metazoa; Chordata; Chondrichthyes; Orectolobiformes; Rhincodontidae. The transcript has 4 exons. The record is from RefSeq and is a predicted model, not a curated record.
CAUGUUCUCAGCAGCUCAGAAACAAUCAUGUCUUAAACAGCAUUUCAUUUUUUAAUUGAACUUUUAGAUAAUAAUUGGUUAAAAUAUUUCAAUACCUCAAUGAAUAAUCUCUCAGUAAUCAGUUCUUGGGAGUCCUGCAUAGAAUCUUACUCCCCUAACCCCAUCAGAUAUCUUCUGAUGCACCUCUCACUCCUUCAGGUACAUGGAUGAAAGGUCAACAAGGAUGGAGUUGUGCCAAAGAAGCAGUGGCCUGUUGGCUGGGAUCGCCAUUCAAACUGCGGCCACAAGGUACCCGCCUUGUUUUACCUGCUUUGGGCAUGUUAUAGCACGUGUGGAUGCUCAACUUGGCUACCCUCUACUUGUUAUGACACACAUCAGGAUCAAGGGGGUUAUGAACGCUUCUGGCCAAAAGGCAAAGUAUCCAGCCAUCAUUUCCAUGCUCAAGGUUUUCUGUCCACAGCAUCUGGUGGAUGAGGCUUCUUGUUACAGUGCAUCGUCUUGAUUUUUGAACA